UACGCAUUCCGUUCCGUAGACUAA
Molecule: non-coding RNA, 24 nt
Filed under: Arabidopsis thaliana (thale cress)
Lineage: Eukaryota; Viridiplantae; Streptophyta; Magnoliopsida; Brassicales; Brassicaceae
Source: RNAcentral